UACGUAGGGGGCAAGCGUUGUCCGGAUUUAUUGGGCGUAAAGAGCGUGUAGGCGGUUUGGUAGGUCCGCUGUGAAAACUCGAGGCUCAACCUCGAGACGCCGGUGGAAACCAUCAGACUAGAGUCCGGAAGAGGAGAGUGGAAUUCCUGGUGUAGCGGUGAAAUGCGCAGAUAUCAGGAGGAACACCGGUGGCGAAGGCGGUUCUCUGGGCCUGUACUGACGCUGAGGAGCGAAAGCGUGGGGGGCGAGCAGG
RNAcentral lists this ribosomal RNA (253 nucleotides) under uncultured bacterium. Its description in RNAcentral is "partial 16S ribosomal RNA". It matches the Rfam family "Bacterial small subunit ribosomal RNA", at positions 524 to 776 of the family's 1533-position model. The record is from RNAcentral.